This 539-nucleotide unclassified non-coding RNA is filed under the name Hyaloscyphaceae sp. KO-groupH 2014. RNAcentral's name for it is "partial contains ITS1, 5.8S rRNA and ITS2". The stretch from base 193 to 346 matches the Rfam family "5.8S ribosomal RNA". Lineage: Eukaryota; Fungi; Ascomycota; Leotiomycetes; Helotiales; Hyaloscyphaceae. The record is from RNAcentral.
UCCGUUGGUGAACCAGCGGAAGGAUCAUUACAGAGAUCAUGCCCUCAAGGGUAGACCUCCCACCCUGUGUUAUUUACGAUUGUUGCUUUGGCAGGUCGCCUUCGGGCACUCGGCUCUGGCUGAGUUGCACCUGCCAGAGGACCCCCAACUCUGUGUUUUUAGUGUUGUCUGAGUAAUAUUUUAAUACGUUAAAACUUUCAACAACGGAUCUCUUGGUUCUGGCAUCGAUGAAGAACGCAGCGAAAUGCGAUAAGUAAUGUGAAUUGCAGAAUUCAGUGAAUCAUCGAAUCUUUGAACGCACAUUGCGCCCCUUGGUAUUCCGGGGGGCAUGCCUGUUCGAGCGUCAUUUCAACCCUCAAGCUAAGCUUGGUCUUGGGCACUGCCGGUUGCGGCUUGCCUUAAAAUUAGUGGCGGUGCCAUUCGAGCUCUACGCGUAGUAAUUUUUAACCCUCGCGAUUGAGUCUUGGUGGAUGCUUGCCAGUAACCCUUAAUUUUUUUUAUGGUUGACCUCGGAUCAGGUAGGGAUACCCGCUGAACUU